CAAACUCAGAUGUUGAACGUGAAGGAUAACGUUGCGUCAGCAACGGCCCGUAGGGCGAGGCGAAGCCGAGUCAUCCUGCACGACCCACCA
Molecule: small RNA, 90 nt
Filed under: Salmonella enterica subsp. enterica serovar Senftenberg
Lineage: Bacteria; Pseudomonadati; Pseudomonadota; Gammaproteobacteria; Enterobacterales; Enterobacteriaceae
Also listed under: 16 other names
Description: partial RtT sRNA
Rfam family: RtT RNA
About the family: This family represents a bacterial cis-regulatory element known as RtT RNA. The exact function of RtT is unknown although it is thought that it may be involved in changing the cellular response in relation to amino acid starvation.
Source: RNAcentral